UUUUAUAGCCGAACAGGCUAGCUUGCUUAGCUGCUACACUGAGCAGCACCUUUAAUUCAACAUCGAGGUCACAAGAUCUUUUAUCAAUUAGGCCUCUCUAAAAGCAUUGUGCUGUUAUCCCUGAGGUAACUACUCUUUAACUUGCUUAAGAUCUCAGUAUCCACUAUAGACAUAGGCUUAUAAAUUAGAUGCUUUACUUUACCGCCCCAGUUUGGCAUAUAUCGCAACAGAUCCUCAAAUUGUUUGAGCUUAGGCCACUCCUAAACCAGCUCUGCAGGGUCUUAUCUUCCCAUUGACUGAGCUUGAAGUUUUGAUCAAAGCCUUAAAUUAUAUAGAGGUGUGGGUUUACAAAUCGUCUUUCAUGAACCCCUUCAUUCUAGACCCCAAUUAAGAGCCAAAUUAUUAUGCUGCCUUUGCACAGUUCAGG
This 427-nucleotide ribosomal RNA is filed under the name Cytherissa glomerata. RNAcentral describes it as "partial small subunit ribosomal RNA". The record is from RNAcentral. Lineage: Eukaryota; Metazoa; Arthropoda; Ostracoda; Podocopida; Cytherideidae.